RNAcentral lists this ribosomal RNA (484 nucleotides) under uncultured bacterium. RNAcentral's name for it is "partial 16S ribosomal RNA". It matches the Rfam family "Bacterial small subunit ribosomal RNA", at positions 30 to 507 of the family's 1533-position model. The record is from RNAcentral.
AUUGAACGCUGGCGGCAGGCUUAACACAUGCAAGUCGAGCGGAAGCACGGAGCUUGCUCCUGGAUUCAGCGGCGGACGGGUGAGUAAUGCCUAGGAACAUGCCUGGUAGUGGGGGAUAACGUCCGGAAACAGGCGCUAAUACCGCAUACGUCCUGAGGGGGAAAGCGGGGGAUCUUAGGACCUCACGCUAUCAGAUGAGCCUAGGUCGGAUUAGCUAGUUGGUGGGGUAAAGGCCUACCAAGGCGACGAUCCGUAGCUGGUCUGAGAGGAUGAUCAGUCACACUGGAACUGAGACACGGUCCAGACUCCUACGGGAGGCAGCAGUGGGGAAUAUUGGACAAUGGGCGAAAGCCUGAUCCAGCCAUGCCGCGUGAGUGAAGAAGGUCUUCGGAUUGUAAAGCACUUUAAGUAGGAAGGAAAGGCAGUAAGUUAAUACCGUGCUGUUUUGACGUUACCAGCAGAAUAAGCACCGGCUAACUUCGUG